GACGAACCGUGCGAACGUUUAUUCGGAAUCACUGGGCGUAAAGGGUGCGUAGGCGGGUCUUUUAAGUCAGGGGUGAAAUCCUGGAGCUCAACUCCAGAACUGCCUUUGAUACUGAGGAUCUUGAGUUCGGGAGAGGUGAGUGGAACUGCGAGUGUAGAGGUGAAAUUCGUAGAUAUUCGCAAGAACACCAGUGGCGAAGGCGGCUCACUGGCCCGAUACUGACGCUGAGGCACGAAAGCGUGGGGAGCAAACAGG
RNAcentral lists this ribosomal RNA (255 nucleotides) under uncultured bacterium. Its description in RNAcentral is "partial 16S ribosomal RNA". It matches the Rfam family "Bacterial small subunit ribosomal RNA", at positions 524 to 776 of the family's 1533-position model. The record is from RNAcentral.